ACUCAAAUGAAUUGACGGGGACCUGCACAAGCGGUGGAGCAUGUGGUUUAAUUCGACGCAACGCGAAGAACCUUACCUGGGUUAAAUCCGAGUGAAAAGCGCAGAGAUGCGUUCCCCUCGCAAGAGGCACAAAGGAAGGUGCUGCAUGGCUGUCGUCAGCUCGUGUCGUGAGAUGUUGGGUUAAGUCCCGCAACGAGCGCAACCCUUACCAUUAGUUACCAUCAUUCAGUUGGGGACUCUAAUGGAACUGCCGGUGAUAAACCGGAGGAAGGUGGGGAUGACGUCAAGUCAUCAUGGCCUUUAUGUCCAGGGCUACACACGUGCUACAAUGGACGGUACAAACCGUAGCAAACCCGCGAGGGGGAGCCAAUCGGAAAAAACCGUUCUCAGUUCGGAUUGUAGUCUGCAACUCGACUACAUGAAGUUGGAAUCGCUAGUAAUCGCGGAUCAGCACGCCGCGGUGAAUACGUUCCCAGGUCUUGUACACACCGCCCGU
RNAcentral lists this ribosomal RNA (496 nucleotides) under uncultured bacterium. RNAcentral's name for it is "partial 16S ribosomal RNA". It matches the Rfam family "Bacterial small subunit ribosomal RNA", at positions 899 to 1397 of the family's 1533-position model. The record is from RNAcentral.